Molecule: non-coding RNA, 45 nt
Filed under: Schistosoma mansoni
Lineage: Eukaryota; Metazoa; Platyhelminthes; Trematoda; Strigeidida; Schistosomatidae
Source: RNAcentral
AUCCAGGUGACGAGUCCCAAAUAGGACGAAACGCUAGUCCUGGAU